CCUACGGGAGGCAGCAGUGAGGAAUAUUGGUCAAUGGUCGGGAGACUGAACCAGCCAAGCCGCGUGAGGGAUGAAGGUACAGAGUAUCGUAAACCUCUUUUGUCAGGGAACAAAGGCGGGGACGUGUCCCCGGAUGAGUGUACCUGAAGAAAAAGCAUCGGCUAACUCCGUGCCAGCAGCCGCGGUAAUACGGAGGAUGCGAGCGUUAUCCGUAUUUAUUGGGUUUAAAGGGUGCGCAGGCGGUCUGUUAAGUCAGCGGUCAAAGCCCGGGGCCAAACCCCGGCCCGCCGUUGAAACUGGCAGUCUGGAGUUGGAGAGAGGUAUGCGGAAUGCGCGGUGUAGCGGUGAAAUGCAUAGAGAUCGCGAAGAACUCCGAUUGCGAAGGCAGCAUGCCGGCUCCACACUGACGCUGAGGCACGAAAGCGUGGGUAUCGAACAGGAUUAGAUACCCUAGUAGUC
Molecule: ribosomal RNA, 459 nt
Filed under: uncultured bacterium
Lineage: Bacteria
Description: partial 16S ribosomal RNA
Rfam family: Bacterial small subunit ribosomal RNA
Source: RNAcentral